CUGGACCUGCAGAUAGCAGUAUCUGAUUAUGCAGGCCAUAUAGAACAUGCCCUUCCUGCUGACAAAUUACUUCAGUUCUUACCUCAUACUCCUGUAGUUAUGCCUACAAAGCACGAUGCAUCAAAUCAUACCAUGGUGUGGCUAGGACCCAACCCAGUAGGAGAAAUGAAGGGAAUGACCCUACAGGACCUGCAGCCCCGGAUGAUGCAACUUCCUUGGAUGACACGAGCCCUGGACAUUACCUGGGGGAUGCUGAAGAUGACAACCCAGGAGGCUGAGCAAAUCCUACCCUGGACACAGACACCAUUCACUCCAGAUAAUUUGUUCCUUGCUAUGCUUUCUGUUGUACAUUGCAACUCUUGUAGGAUAUUGGCUUUUCUUAUUUUCUCACUCUGGUUGCAACUGGUACCUGCUACACUCUAUUAAGCCCAUCUUCUAAAUCUGCCUUUCUUCUGCACUGUUACCUGUGCAGAUACUCCCUUCCCAGCCUCUAAUAACGUAACCGCUUGGCUAGGAGGGAUUGACCUACCCGCCAUGGGUUUCCUUAGUAAUGGCACAGAUUGGACUGAGGAGCCAAGCAACACUACAUAUCACUCCUUGACUGGAAAAGAAUGUUACGAA
RNAcentral lists this long non-coding RNA (621 nucleotides) under Homo sapiens (human). Its description in RNAcentral is "novel transcript". The record is from RNAcentral. Lineage: Eukaryota; Metazoa; Chordata; Mammalia; Primates; Hominidae.